This 497-nucleotide ribosomal RNA is filed under the name uncultured bacterium. RNAcentral describes it as "partial 16S ribosomal RNA". It matches the Rfam family "Bacterial small subunit ribosomal RNA", at positions 28 to 507 of the family's 1533-position model. The record is from RNAcentral.
GAUGAACGCUGGCGGCGUGCCUAAUACAUGCGAGUCGAGCGAACAGACGAGGAGCUUGCUCCUCUGACGUUAGCGGCGGACGGGUGAGUAACACGUGGAUAACCUACCUAUAAGACUGGGAUAACUUCGGGAAACCGGAGCUAAUACCGGAUAAUAUAUUGAACCGCAUGGUUCAAUAGUGAAAGACGGUUUUGCUGUCACUUAUAGAUGGAUCCGCGCCGCAUUAGCUAGUUGGUAAGGUAACCGCUUACCAAGGCAACGAUGCGUAGCCGACCUGAGAGGGUGAUCGGCCACACUGGAACUGAGACACGGUCCAGACUCCUACGGGAGGCAGCAGUAGGGAAUCUUCCGCAAUGGGCGAAAGCCUGACGGAGCAACGCCGCGUGAGUGAUGAAGGUCUUCGGAUCGUAAAACUCUGUUAUUAGGGAAGAACAAAUGUGUAAGUAACUAUGCACGUCUUGACGGUACCUAAUCAGAAAGCCACGGCUAACUACGUG